UUAGGAAUCUUGCGCAAUGGGGGCAACCCUGACGCAGCGACGCCGCGUGGAGGAUGAAGGUUUUCGGAUCGUAAACUCCUUUUAAGAGGGAAGAAGUUCUGACGGUACCUCUUGAAUAAGCCCCGGCUAACUACGUGCCAGCAGCCGCGGUAAUACGUAGGGGGCGAGCGUUGUCCGAAGUUACUGGGCGUAAAGCGCGCGUAGGCGGUUUCUUAAGUCUGGGGUGAAAGGUUCAGCGCUCAACGUGAACAGUGCCUUGGAUACUGGGAGACUUGAGUAAGGGAGAGGGCAGUGGAAUUCCUGGUGUAGCGGUGAAAUGCGUAGAUAUCAGGAGGAACACCAAUGGCGAAGGCAGCUGCCUGGCCUAUUACUGACGCUGAGGUGCGAAAGCGUGGGGAGCGAACGGG
RNAcentral lists this ribosomal RNA (407 nucleotides) under uncultured bacterium. RNAcentral describes it as "bacterial SSU rRNA". It matches the Rfam family "Bacterial small subunit ribosomal RNA", at positions 355 to 776 of the family's 1533-position model. The record is from RNAcentral.